ACUCUCGGCAACGGAUAUCUCGGCUCUCGCAUCGAUGAAGAACGUAGCGAAAUGCGAUACUUGGUGUGAAUUGCAGAAUCCCGUGAACCAUCGAGUCUUUGAACGCAAGUUGCGCCUGAAGCCAUUAGGCUAAAGGCACGUCUGCCUGGGCGUCACGCAUCGC
This 163-nucleotide ribosomal RNA is filed under the name Buglossoides arvensis (corn gromwell). Its description in RNAcentral is "5.8S ribosomal RNA". It matches the Rfam family "5.8S ribosomal RNA". Rfam says of the family: 5.8S ribosomal RNA (5.8S rRNA) is a component of the large subunit of the eukaryotic ribosome. It is transcribed by RNA polymerase I as part of the 45S precursor that also contains 18S and 28S rRNA. Lineage: Eukaryota; Viridiplantae; Streptophyta; Magnoliopsida; Boraginales; Boraginaceae. RNAcentral also lists the same sequence under 12 other names. The record is from RNAcentral.